RNAcentral lists this unclassified non-coding RNA (170 nucleotides) under uncultured Sebacina. RNAcentral describes it as "sequence contains ITS1". The record is from RNAcentral. Lineage: Eukaryota; Fungi; Basidiomycota; Agaricomycetes; Sebacinales; Sebacinaceae.
UUGAUUGCAAAUCGUUGCCCUCAGUGCUGGCCGGCCUCGGCAAGUGCACGUUGGUGACUUUUUCAUCCAAACCCUGUGCACCUUUGGCCUCUUGCUGGCUUCGGCCGGCAGAGGAUUUUACACAAACUCGAAUGUAAUGAAAUUUAUUGUCGUGCGCAAGCACUAAUGUA